Molecule: ribosomal RNA, 403 nt
Filed under: uncultured bacterium
Lineage: Bacteria
Description: partial 16S ribosomal RNA
Rfam family: Bacterial small subunit ribosomal RNA
Source: RNAcentral
GACGAACGCUGGCGGCGUGCCUAAUACAUGCAAGUCGAACGCAGUGGGGACGGGUGAGUAACACGUGGGUAACCUCCCAUCAGAGGGGAUAACACUUGGAAACAGGUGCUAAACCGAUACUGAUGGAUGGACCCGCGGUGCAUUAGCUACUUGGUGAGGUAACGGCUCACCAAGGCCACGAUGCAUACCCGGACCGAGAGGGUGAUCGGCCACACUGGGACGGAGACACGGCCCAGACUCCUACGGGAGGCAGCAGUAGGGAAUCUUCGGCAAUGGGCGAAAGUCUGACCGAGCAACGCCGCGUGAGUGAAGAAGGCCUUCGGAUUGUAAAACACUGUUGGUAGAGAAGCGGUAUCUACCCAGAAAGCCCCGGCUAACUACGUGCCAGCAGCCGCGGUAAUAC